UGUACACGCUGUGACUAGCAUAUCAAUAAGCGGAGGAAAAGAAACUAACAAGGAUUCCCCUAGUAACGGCGAGUGAAGCGGGAAGAGCUCAAAUUUGAAAUCUUAAAGGGUUUCCCUUUACGAAUUGUAGUUUAAAGAAGUGUUUUCUGUUGAGGUUUUGGUAAAAGUUCUUUGGAAUAGGACAUCAUAGAGGGUGAGAAUCCCGUAUUUGACCUUUACUUUCAACUUUGUGAUACACUUUCAAAGAGUCGAAUUGUUUGGGAAUGCAGUCCAAAAUGGGUGGUAAAUUUCAUCUAAAGCUAAAUAUUGGCGAGAGACCGAUAGCGAACAAGUACCGUGAGGGAAAGAUGAAAAGAACUUUGAAAAGAGAGUUAAACAGUACGUGAAAUUGUCAAAAGGGAAGCGUUUGACACCAGUGUUGUUUUUCUGAAAAUCAAUCAAAGAACUGUUUAUGCUAAGUUGUUUAGACUUUAUCAGCUAACUGUUUAGUUUUGAGCUUUUCUUUAAUGCACUUUUCAGUUAACAAGUCAACAUCAAUUUCUCUUUGCUGUAAAAAAGCUUGAGGAAGGUGGCUUGAGAUUCGUCUUAAGUGUUUAUAGCCUCUUGCCUAUGCAGUCGGAGAGAUUGAGGUCUGCAGCGUAGAUCCUUCGGGGCUAAAUGCAUUUGUGCUAGUUAUAGCAUUUUAUAGACAACUUGUUGACUAUGAUUUGUCUUGUAGCUUACUCGCUUAUGUUAUUUUACCUACGCUUAGGAUGUUGAAGAUGUAGCACAUCAU
Molecule: ribosomal RNA, 775 nt
Filed under: uncultured Neocallimastigales
Lineage: Eukaryota; Fungi; Neocallimastigomycota; Neocallimastigomycetes; Neocallimastigales
Description: partial large subunit ribosomal RNA
Rfam family: Eukaryotic large subunit ribosomal RNA
Source: RNAcentral